CCGCUUGUUUCCAAUUGAAGUGUAAUGUGUUGAAUAACAAUUAAAUGCAACGAGUGCUAUGUGCUUAAAUAGAAAUAAAUUGAACGAGUUGCGUAAAUAAAUUGAACAGCUGGUUGCAGCGUAACCGUGAGCACCAUUUUGAAAUCAGCUAUGUGCUUUCCAAAAUCAAACAGAAUCCACAACUUUCUUCAGCAGAGUAAGAAGGAAAACCUCUGUAACAUUCAUCCAAAAUCUAAUAACUCCAUCAUUGUUCAAGAGAAAUGCUGCUACAAAAACGUCCCAGCCGAAAUGUGAAUUCUCGGCAGCUCCUCCCCGUGUUCCAGCCGAGAGUAAAAGAAAUNGUGCUCUCUAAAAAUCUGCUCAGCUGAGAGUAUGAGGCUCUCCAAAAAAUGUGACGGCUGCCAGGGGAUUCUAAUCCCUAGAGUCAAGUGUCCUAAAAAUUAGGGUGGGG
RNAcentral lists this long non-coding RNA (451 nucleotides) under Vigna radiata. RNAcentral describes it as "long non-coding RNA (VRAD_LNC016754)". Lineage: Eukaryota; Viridiplantae; Streptophyta; Magnoliopsida; Fabales; Fabaceae. The record is from RNAcentral.